AUGGACUUGUGCGAGAAGAAACGAAGUAGCCAGGGGGCCAACUAUAGAAGAGAGGAUCUACUUGGGAAGAAAGAAGAAAGGAGGAGGGCCAAAGUAAAAAAAAGACAGAUCGGAUCAUGGGGGAUCAAAAUCCCUAGCACGCCUCCAUUCCCCAUCGAGCCUAACAUCUCCAUCUCUCUCCCCCUGACCACUUCUUCUCCCACCUUCGGCCGCCGUCGCGACCAGGCCAUCAUGGCGGCGUGCCUCCGGACAUCACUGCUCCACCAGCACCUUCACCCACCAGCACCACAUCAUCCAUCCAGCACUCCGUCUUCACCGCCAUCGCCUUGGGCGCUCCACUUCGUCGCCGCGCCUGGCGCGCCCGACCAGACGGGUGUUUGGUUCCCCGCGCCACCUGCUGCUUCUUCCCUCUCCUCAAAUCCUGUUGCUGCUAGACUUCUUCUUCCCUGA
Molecule: ribosomal RNA, 450 nt
Filed under: Triticum aestivum (bread wheat)
Lineage: Eukaryota; Viridiplantae; Streptophyta; Magnoliopsida; Poales; Poaceae
Description: partial small subunit ribosomal RNA
Source: RNAcentral